GGCGUUGCCCAACGCGCAGUGCCCCAAAGUCGAGGGUCUUGCUCUCGAAGGCGCCCUCGACGUUGCAGAAGAGCCCCCCGCGCUUCGGACGAGGCGCCGCCGCCGAGCCGGGCCGCGCCAGCUGCUCAUGUGAGACCCAAGACUCUCUCUGAAGGCCAGAACCCAGUCUCAGCUGCAUCAAAUACAUCUGGAAGAAAUCACAGGAAAAAGGGGGACUUAACCCCAAAUAAAGCCUGCUACAUCAAGCCAAUCCAUCCCCAAGGGAGUGCCUGGUGUGGAGGAGCCUGUUUCAUGCAGCUGGGGUCCUGCCUUUGAGCGCACGUCAAGCCCACUGGGCGUGUUCCAGUUUCAAGAUCUGCAGUGGACCAGAACUCGGUGCAGCAUUUGAAGAUACAAAUG
Long non-coding RNA from Serinus canaria (Common canary), 399 nucleotides. RefSeq lists it as uncharacterized. Lineage: Eukaryota; Metazoa; Chordata; Aves; Passeriformes; Fringillidae. The transcript is spliced from 3 exons. The record is from RefSeq and is a predicted model, not a curated record.